This 1148-nucleotide long non-coding RNA is filed under the name Nicotiana tabacum (common tobacco). RNAcentral's name for it is "long non-coding RNA (NTAB_LNC007576)". Lineage: Eukaryota; Viridiplantae; Streptophyta; Magnoliopsida; Solanales; Solanaceae. The record is from RNAcentral.
GAACUGUGAACCAUAACCCACUAAACCAAGCCAUAAGCCUCUAAAGAUUUAAAUUUGAAUACAUAAGCUAUGGGCAUUCCCCUGGAAUAAUAUGCCAAAGAAAAUAAAAUAAGCUGAAGAAGUUCGGAUACUGCUGGGAAGAGUCAACAGGGCUCACCAACAGAGUUUAUGGAGUCUGUCUCUAGCUAUGCAUCUCGUCACCUACAACCUUAAUAGCUGUCACACGACGUGGGAGGCCCAAAUGAGUUAAGUACCAUCAAAGAUACUCAAUAAGUCUCAUAGGCUACUUCCUAAAAAGGUGAAGCGAGACCUUUUGGGAAACAUCACAAUAUGAAAAGAAGCGGGUUCACAGGAUAUCAAAAGUCUUCAAAAUCUUUAAACAGGUAAUGAGCUAAAAUUGAAACUAUUAGCUGAACUGUGAACUAAUAACUAAACUUGAAAACUGAGUCUAUAAUUGAAAACUGAAACUGAAAACUACUCAAAACUAAAAUAGAAAACUGAGUUAUUUUUAAAGAAAUAUUUUUUUUGAAAAAUAGUUACACAUAGUAGUCGUAUGUAUGUGAGAUCUGGUAAUACAUACGGGAGAGUGUCGGCCUAUCUCCCAAUAAACAAUAGCCCCUACGAGCGUGAGGUAGCUAGCCCUGGCCUCUUGGCACUCAUGCAAAGGGAGGUCGGCUAGCUCUCCCUUCGGAAUUUGAUCACAUUAAUGCAUGAAUGAUUACUGAAACUGAAUGUUGAACUGAAUGUAAAUAUCACAAGCAAGGGCAUAUCACAAGUGGUGAUACAUGUAAGUAUAUAAUACAGUCACAUUUUCAUAUAAAUUCGUACUGAAUAAGAAUGGAGUGAAUUGAAUACUGAAGCACAAAAAGACAUAGAUUAAGAAUUUCAUCGAAUACAUAGAGCACGAAGGUUCUAACGAAAUUCCCUAUUAAUAGAGUAAGUCAUAAAACUUACCUUUGUUUGACACUCUAAAUAAUUUGAAAGUAUGCUUUAACAAGCUCGAACUGUAAAAACGCGUCCAAUCUACAAAAUAUAACUCAAUUAUAGAAUUCAUAUGGAUACCUAAGUCCAAAAUAAUAUCAAUACUUGUGAAAGAAAAUAUGUGAGUACCUUAAAUAAAGUCUAAAGAUAAUGGUGUCUCACGAUCU